RNAcentral lists this unclassified non-coding RNA (1400 nucleotides) under Drosophila ananassae. RNAcentral's name for it is "GF12555". The record is from RNAcentral. Lineage: Eukaryota; Metazoa; Arthropoda; Insecta; Diptera; Drosophilidae.
GAACGACACACUUGGAGCGAUCGUCCAAGUGCGCGGAUCGCUUGAAGAACGAGCUCAUAUAUAAAGUAAUAUAGUACCGCCAUAUUAAAUAUUUUUCAAGUCCAAGUUAAUGUGAUAUUCGUUAUUGUUGUGCAUAAAGUUUGUUAGCAAGUGGGCAAGGCCGCCAAAAGUGAUCUAAUUAAUAAAGCAAGUUUGUCAGUAGCGGUUAAUAAGCAGAGCCUACAAGAUGGGAAAGUUCGAGUACUCACUGGGUUUAAAUGAGCUCAAAUCCAAGGAGUUGAGAUUAUGGCAGGCCCUAAUUGGAGAAUUCCUGGGAAAUCUUAUUCUUAACUUUUUUGCCUGCGGUGCCUGCACUCAAGUGGAGGAUAGUACCUUCAAGGCUCUGGCUUUUGGCCUGGCCAUUUUCAUGGCUAUAACGAUCGUUGGGCACUUGAGCGGCGGACACGUCAAUCCUGCCGUUACUGUUGCCAUGUUAGUUGCUGGUCGAAUUAGUUUCCUCAGGGCCUUUUUCUAUAUAAUCUUCCAAUGUUUGGGCGCCAUUUCGGGAACAGCAGCAGUCAGGACCCUUAUCGACCAAGAUUACUACAAUGGCCUGGGCCACACUACUCUGGCUCCCAACAUCACAGAGCUGCAGGGUCUGGGCAUCGAGUUCUUCCUGGGCUUCCUCCUGGUUCUAACUGUGUUUGGAGCCUGUGAUCCCCACAAACCGGACUCCCGCUACACGGCGCCCCUGGCCAUCGGUAUGGCCGUGACUUUGGGUCACCUGGGAACCAUACGGUAUACGGGAUCCAGCAUGAAUCCUGCACGCACCGUUGGCACUGCAUUCGCCACCGGAAAUUGGUCUGCCCACUGGAUCUACUGGGUGGGUCCCAUUCUCGGGGGCGUGACAGCUGCCCUGCUCUACACCCAGAUCCUGGAGGCGAAGCCGGAGCCGAAGACGAAUGAGGCCGCCGAGAAGUACAGAACACAUGCCGAUGAACGUGAGGUGAGAAUCAGAUUGAUUAAUGCCUGGAGCGAGGAGUACUUCUACUGAUCAUUAACCCCUCGUUGCACACUCAAUUACAUUCAUUACACACUCACAGAUACACAUUAUGCGCAAAUUGGAAAGUGCCCGCGACUUUGCUUAGAAAUGGAAAACUAAGAGUGUCUCGAAUCUGGAGAGAGAAUCUGGAAAGGAUCAAUUUUGAUCAUUGAUUGCAUUCAGCUCUGUGUCUAUCAUACUUAUUACCUAUGUCGUGUAUUCGUUCGUUCGUGUGUAUUUAUGUAUUUAUUCAUGAAACUUUCAAUUUUUUAUUUAACUAAUACUUAAAUGUAUAAGCUGCCGUAAAAUGCAAUUUACAAACUAAAUUACAUGUAAAUGUCUCAUGCCUGCACAAUAAAGUCAAAUGUUUACAUUUAAA